AUGGCCUCCUCCAGCUCCUCCAACCCAACCCUCUCCGGCCAGAUCACCGAGCGCCUCACCCGCAUCAACUAUAUCCUUUGGCGCACUCAGAUCGCGCCGCAGCUUCGAGGUGCUGGUUUCUUCGGGUAUGUCGAUGGGAGCAUGCCUGUACCGGCCAAAGUCGUCGUCACCGAGGAGAAGGAUGGCAAGGAGGAGUCCAUCCCCAAUCCUCUUCACCAUGUGUGGAUCUGAGAGGAUCCGCAAGUACUGGGAUAUCUCCGGAAUAACCUCUCCAAGGAAGUGCUCGUGCAGGUCACCUCAAUCGUCCAUGCACACGAGCUCUGGUCGGCGCUGGCGAGGAUGUUCUCGUCGACCUCGCUGUCCCGCGUCAACAACAUUCCGGCGGCGCUCACCAACGCGCAGAAGGGCACACAAUCUGUGGCCACUUUCUUCGCGCAUAUGCGAUCUCUCGCUGACGAGCUUGCGGCGGCCAGCAAGCCCCUGCAAGACGACGAGCUCAUCUCCUACAUCCUCAAUGCCCUGGACAUGGAGUACUAG
This 537-nucleotide ribosomal RNA is filed under the name Triticum aestivum (bread wheat). RNAcentral describes it as "partial small subunit ribosomal RNA". Lineage: Eukaryota; Viridiplantae; Streptophyta; Magnoliopsida; Poales; Poaceae. The record is from RNAcentral.